This 261-nucleotide ribosomal RNA is filed under the name uncultured bacterium. Its description in RNAcentral is "partial 16S ribosomal RNA". It matches the Rfam family "Bacterial small subunit ribosomal RNA", at positions 95 to 354 of the family's 1533-position model. The record is from RNAcentral.
CCGGCGCACGGGUGAGUAACACGUAUGCAACCUGCCUGCCACAGCCGGAUAAUCGGGAGAAAUUCCGUCUAAUACGGCAUAAUGCAUCGACGGGACAUCCUGUUGGUGCCAAAGGUUAAUUCCGGUGGCGGAUGGGCAUGCGUCGCAUUAGUUAGUUGGCGGUGUAACGGACCACCAAGACGACGAUGCGUAGGGGUUCUGAGAGGAAGGUCCCCCACACUGGAACUGAGACACGGUCCAAACUCCUACGGAAGGCAGCAG